Molecule: ribosomal RNA, 253 nt
Filed under: uncultured bacterium
Lineage: Bacteria
Description: partial 16S ribosomal RNA
Rfam family: Bacterial small subunit ribosomal RNA
Source: RNAcentral
UACGGAGGUGGCAAGCGUUGCUCGGAAUGACUGGGCGUAAAGGGCGCGUAGGCGGUUCGUACAGUCAGACGUGAAAUUCCCGGGCUCAACCUGGGGGCUGCGUUUGAUACGUACGGGCUUGAGUUCGGAAGAGGGUCGUGGAAUUCCCAGUGUAGAGGUGAAAUUCGUAGAUAUUGGGAAGAACACCGGUGGCGAAGGCGGCGACCUGGUCCGAUACUGACGCUGAGGCGCGAAAGCGUGGGGAGCAAACAGG